This 73-nucleotide transfer RNA is filed under the name Canis lupus familiaris (dog). It matches the Rfam family "tRNA". From Rfam's summary of the family: Transfer RNA (tRNA) molecules are approximately 80 nucleotides in length. Their secondary structure includes four short double-helical elements and three loops (D, anti-codon, and T loops). RNAcentral also lists the same sequence under 1 other name. The record is from Rfam by way of RNAcentral. Lineage: Eukaryota; Metazoa; Chordata; Mammalia; Carnivora; Canidae.
ACCUGGCUGGCUUAGUCAAUGGAGCAUGGGACUCUUGAUCCCAAGGUUGUAAGUUCGAGUCCCAUGUAGGGUG